RNAcentral lists this long non-coding RNA (1301 nucleotides) under Homo sapiens (human). RNAcentral describes it as "LHRI_LNC598.1". The record is from RNAcentral. Lineage: Eukaryota; Metazoa; Chordata; Mammalia; Primates; Hominidae.
CAAGUGUCCUUGUGGAGGCACCCCGAAUCGAAGCCCCCUCCCUCUUCCCCAACCUUAGAACAGCUUCUCCCCCAGAGUUCUCUCUGUGAAGUUAACUUUUUGUUGCUUUAUCUCUUUGUCCUCCAUCUUCUUCAGAGGAGCAUUUAAGCCCCAUGAGGGCAGAAGCCUCAUCUCACUGAAUCCCAGUACUUGGAACCAUGCCUAGAACAUGUGGUGUCAAGAACCUGGAUACUGGCCAGGGUCAAGGUCUCACCAACAUUUGGGGACCUCCCCUAGCCCACCAGUUUUACCUGGAGCUCCGAGUCUCAGUCCUCCCAAGGUGAACGGGCAUCUUCCCUGGACACCAGGAGGAAAUGGGAAAGAAGAAAGCCCCCAUCUCCUGCCACUCCACCUCCUCAGGGUUCACAAGACCCACACACCAGACAGUGCACGUUCCUUUACCAAAAAGCUAGGACAUUUUCAGAGGGGAAUCACUACGAGGAGAAGCAAACGUUAAAUUUCACCUCUCCCAUGUUGCCCAAGGGCAGCAGCUGGGGGCCUUGACUUUCAUGACCUCAUGCUUGAGAUGUUUCCCUGACAGGUGGAGUGCAGUGGCACGAUCUCGGGUCACUACAACUUCUGCUUCCUGGUGUAGGAUAUAAUAAAUUCCUCUUCAAAGGUUUUAGCCUGUAAAUUGUUAAGUACAAUGAGUUCUGAGAUCCUCUCCAAAGAAUCAAUGUAUCAGUUAUGUUCAGCUCUUCAUUUUAAAGUUUUCGUCUCCUUGCCCCUAGUUCCAGUAAACAACCACCUCCUAGCCUCUAUCACCUGCUCCGUCCUGAGUCACUCCUGGUCACCUACUCUGACCUGAGUCAUCUUGAGUCACCUGUUCCCACCAAACUACUCACCCCGCCACUCUGACUUGUGUCCCUACUCUCUUUAAAGUAGCCAAUCGGAAUUAGCUUAGACUGUGCAGUCCAACCCUAGCCAAUAGGGGAAUGACACAGCAGUAGGGGCUACCUGCAUCAGGAAUAAGAACCCCUUCCCCUCCUUUAUUCAGGUGUCUCUUGCCAUUGCUCCAUCCACAAGUCGCACCCUUCUAUAGAAGUAAAAUUGCCUUGCUGAGAAAAUUAAAUUUAUGUUUGAGUGCUAUUUCUUUGGCACCACUGAAAAUUUAUUUAUAACACUGGGUUCAAGCUAUUCUCCUGUCUCAGUCUCCCACGUAGGUGGGAUUACAGGUGCCCGUCACCACAUCUGGCUAAUUUUUGCAUUUUUAGUAGAGACAGGGUUUCACCAUGUUGGCCAGGCUGGUCUUAAACUCCUGA